GGGGCGUUUCGAGCGUAGAGCCACGCGGUGUAGUUCGGGCACCUGCUGCGUGGGGAGCGAGUGGUGCGACCGGCGAAACGGACC
RNAcentral lists this non-coding RNA (84 nucleotides) under Deinococcus sp. Its description in RNAcentral is "c-di-GMP sequence". It matches the Rfam family "Cyclic di-GMP-II riboswitch aptamer". RNAcentral also lists the same sequence under 1 other name. The record is from RNAcentral. Lineage: Bacteria; Thermotogati; Deinococcota; Deinococci; Deinococcales; Deinococcaceae.